UCUGGUGAUUAUAGCUAGAAGGUAACACCCGUUCCCAUGCCGAACACGACGGUUAAGCUUCUAAGCGCCGAUGGUACUGCAA
RNAcentral lists this ribosomal RNA (82 nucleotides) under Clostridium tetani. Lineage: Bacteria; Bacillati; Bacillota; Clostridia; Eubacteriales; Clostridiaceae. The record is from RNAcentral.